RNAcentral lists this ribosomal RNA (1083 nucleotides) under Triticum aestivum (bread wheat). RNAcentral describes it as "partial small subunit ribosomal RNA". The record is from RNAcentral. Lineage: Eukaryota; Viridiplantae; Streptophyta; Magnoliopsida; Poales; Poaceae.
AUGGCUCCCCUCUUCGCCUCCUGCCACGCUUCCCACGCGUCCCUCCUACUCCUCUCCCCCAGCCCCGCCGCCGCCGCGCGUCUCCGCGUCGGUGGCCUCCGAGUCAGGCGGCCGCGCCGCCUCCGCCUCCCCGUACGCACCGCCGCAGGAGGCAGCCCACUCGACGCCGAGAUCCCCGACCCUACAGUCGACGACGACGAGUGGGGCCGCGAGCCGCCCGCUUCCGCGCCGGGUAACUCGCGCCCUGGCGUCACCGAUGAGUGGGGCGAGCCGGGGGUGGCCGAGCCUGAGCAGCCCUCCGGCGCCGACACCCCUACCAACGACGACGAGUGGGGCGGGGAGCCCACGCCGACGCCGCCCAAGGCGAAGGAGGCUCCGGUUACGAAGGAGGACGAGGGGAGGGAGGAGCUGAAGCGGUGCUUGGUGGACACGGUUUACGGCUCCGGCCUGGGCCUCAAGGCGUCCUCGGAGGUCAGGGGGGAGGUCGUGGAGCUCGUGGCCCAGCUCGAGGCUGCCAAUCCCACGUCCGCGCCCGUCCAGGCGCCAGAGCUCGACGGAAACUGGAUACUCCUGUAUACAGCAUAUUCUGAGCUUCUACCGAUUCUGCUUGCCGGGGCAACACCAUUCACCAGAGUUGAUAAGAUAUCCCAAGAAAUUGACUCGAGAAUCAUGACGAUAAUUAAUGCUUCAACUAUUUCGACUCCAUUUGCUUCGUUUUCAUUCAGCGCAACUGCUUCUUUUGAAGUCCAAACUCCAUCAAGGAUAGAGGUCCAAUUCAAAGAGGGGAGCUUCCAGCCUCCUGAGAUAUCAUCAUCGGUAAAUCUACCUGAACAGAUCGCCAUAUUCGGGCAGAAGUUCAGCCUGGGGACUGUUAAGGAGCUGCUGGAGCCUUUGCAGCGAGCAUUUGCUAGCAUUGCAGGGUCCAUCUCUGGGCAGCCACCCCUCAAGGUACCGAUUCCUGGGGACAACAAGGCCAAGUCGUGGCUUUUGACAACCUACCUGGACAAAGACUUGAGGAUUUCAAAAGGCGAUGGAGGCGGCGUGUUUAUUCUUGCCAAAGAGGGGAGCCCUUUACUAGAUUAA